This 75-nucleotide transfer RNA is filed under the name Candidatus Coatesbacteria bacterium RBG_13_66_14. Its description in RNAcentral is "tRNA-Gly". It matches the Rfam family "tRNA". Rfam says of the family: Transfer RNA (tRNA) molecules are approximately 80 nucleotides in length. Their secondary structure includes four short double-helical elements and three loops (D, anti-codon, and T loops). Further hydrogen bonds mediate the characteristic L-shaped molecular structure. tRNAs have two regions of fundamental functional importance: the anti-codon, which is responsible for specific mRNA codon recognition, and the 3' end, to which the tRNAs corresponding amino acid is attached (by aminoacyl-tRNA synthetases). tRNAs cope with the degeneracy of the genetic code in two manners: having more than one tRNA (with a specific anti-codon) for a particular amino acid; and 'wobble' base-pairing, i.e. permitting non-standard base-pairing at the 3rd anti-codon position. RNAcentral also lists the same sequence under 1 other name. The record is from RNAcentral. Lineage: Bacteria; Candidatus Coatesiibacteriota.
GCGGGGUUAAUUCAGUGGUAGAAUGUCAGCUUCCCAAGCUGAACGUCGCCGGUUCGAGCCCGGUACCCCGCUCCA